GAGGUGGUCGCAUUCAUCGUUCAUACAAUUUUAAGAUUGUUUCAAUGAAAGUGAAGUUCAGAUUGAAAUAGAUGCCGAUUGAAGUAAAAUUUUUGAUAAAAUUAUGAUAAGGCCGUAAACUUUAAAUACCACCCUUACGAUUUUUCACUUUUUUAAUUUAAUAUUCUGGAGUUUAAAGUGCAUUGCUUUAGUAUCUCGUGGUCUUAUCUUUCUCUUUCCAUCAGAUUAUAUACAAAAAACUUCAGAUACUCAACCUAUGAUUUAUUGAAUAUUAACUUUAAUUAGUACCCUAUAUAUAGUUUAUUGAAUUUUUUUUUCUUUAGUACUCUGUGGUUUUAACUUUAUCACUGAUAUAACAAAAGAAUUACCGACCGUCCCUAGAGCAAGUGGCAAAAGGCUUGAUGGUUGGUACCCGAGACCCAAGUUCGAAUCCUAGUUGAUUCACAUUUAUAGCUAAGUUUAUUUCUAAAUAAAAUAAACGAAGCGGGUAGCGUGCUAUCUAUCUCUCAAAAAAAAAAAAAAAAAAAAAAACAAAAGAAUUAACGAAGGUGAUAACGAAAAGAGAAAAAUGAAAACACUGGAUACUAAAAGUAAUACAUUUUAAACCAUAGGUACUAAAGUGAGAAAGCACGAAACCACAUGAAUGGUAUUUUGAAGUUUUCUCUUUAUAAUAAUUCUGCUAUUUAUUACGCAGCAGGGCAAUAAAAGCUAAAGUUUCUCACUUUUUGUAUUAAUUUUAUUAAAAAUUAUUAAAUUUUUUUCACACAUUAAUUAAUAUAA
Molecule: long non-coding RNA, 780 nt
Filed under: Ananas comosus (pineapple)
Lineage: Eukaryota; Viridiplantae; Streptophyta; Magnoliopsida; Poales; Bromeliaceae
Description: long non-coding RNA (ACOM_LNC004701)
Source: RNAcentral